CCUACGGGAGGCAGCAGUGAGGAAUAUUGGUCAAUGGGAGAGAUCCUGAACCAGCCAAGCCGCGUGAGGGAAGACGGCCCUAUGGGUUGUAAACCUCUUUUGUCGGAGAACAAAACCCGGGACGUGUCCCGGACUGCGUGUAUCCGAAGAAAAAGCAUCGGCUAACUCCGUGCCAGCAGCCGCGGUAAUACGGAGGAUGCGAGCGUUAUCCGGAUUUAUUGGGUUUAAAGGGUGCGUAGGCGGUCCGUUAAGUCAGCGGUAAAAUUGCGGGGCUCAACCCCGUCGAGCCGUUGAAACUGGCAGACUUGAGUUGGCGAGAAGUAAGCGGAAUGCGCGGUGUAGCGGUGAAAUGCAUAGAUAUAGCGAAGAACACCGAUUGCGAAGGCAGCGUACUGGCGCCAGACUGACGCUGAGGCACGAAAGCGUGGGGAUCGAACAGGAUUAGAUACCCGGGUAGUC
RNAcentral lists this ribosomal RNA (459 nucleotides) under uncultured bacterium. Its description in RNAcentral is "partial 16S ribosomal RNA". It matches the Rfam family "Bacterial small subunit ribosomal RNA", at positions 338 to 795 of the family's 1533-position model. The record is from RNAcentral.